CCUACGGGAGGCAGCAGUAAGGAAUAUUGGUCAAUGGAGGCAACUCUGAACCAGCCAUGCCGCGUGCAGGAAGACGGCCCUAUGGGUUGUAAACUGCUUUUGAACUAGAGAAAACCUUGGUACGUGUACCGAGUUGAUAGUAUAGUUAGAAUAAGCAUCGGCUAACUUCGUGCCAGCAGCCGCGGUAAGACGAAGGAUGCAAGCGUUAUCCGGAUUCAUUGGGUUUAAAGGGUGCGUAGGCGGACUGAUAAGUCAGUGGUGAAAUCUCUCAGCUUAACUGAGAAACUGCCAUUGAUACUGUUAGUCUAGAGUACAGAUGAUGUGGGCGGAAUAUGACAUGUAGUGGUGAAAUACUUAGAUAUGUCAUAGAACACCGAUUGCGAAGGCAGCUCACAAAACUGUAACUGACGCUGAGGCACGAAAGUGCGGGGAUCAAACAGGAUUAGAUACCCUGUAGUCCGCACCGUAAACGAUGAUUACUCGUUGUUGGCGAUAUGACAGUCAGCGACCAAGCGAAAGCGANAAGUAAUCCACCUGGGGAGUACGCCGGCAACGGUGAACUCGAAAUAGAGUAGACGGNGNGAGAGNGCGACGGACGACACGAGGGGAGGAGG
This 614-nucleotide ribosomal RNA is filed under the name uncultured bacterium. Its description in RNAcentral is "bacterial SSU rRNA". It matches the Rfam family "Bacterial small subunit ribosomal RNA", at positions 338 to 954 of the family's 1533-position model. The record is from RNAcentral.